Phoenix dactylifera (date palm) is the source of this 1811-nucleotide non-coding RNA. The record is from RefSeq and is a predicted model, not a curated record. Lineage: Eukaryota; Viridiplantae; Streptophyta; Magnoliopsida; Arecales; Arecaceae.
UUUGAGGGGGUGGGGGUGGGGGUGGGGCUGGUGAAGAAGUUAAGGGUGAACAUCUCUUACUAUAGGUGUUGGAACACCAACAUAGUAAGAGGUCAUAUUCAUCAAACUGCAAGCAUAUUUAAGCAAGCAGUAGUUCUCAUUUUGACAGGACAGUGGACCUUUUUAUUUUGAUUCAGAACAAAGAAAGAGAAAUCAGCUUAAAUAUCAGCCAGGUUAUCCUGCACCAAGGGGGCAUUUAAUUGUCAGGUUUUACUAGCUAGAUUUAUGCAAAGCUUAAAAUUACGAAACACUUGCUUGGCUAUGUUUUCAAUAUAACUAAUUUCAUAUAUUCAGGCAAGUCAUAAAACUGGAAGAAUGAGUUGCAUGAAAAGUCUGUUUUUCGUAGAAUCUGUCUUACAGAAAAAUAGGUUUCAUCUCUUCCAAGAAGCCGCAGACGAUCAAACAACCCCAGUGGGUUGUCUUUUCACCCUUAUUUUUCUUCAGAAUUCCAGAUAGGAGUUAACAAUGGACAUUUAUGAUUUUACAUGAGUGUAUUUACUGUUAUUUGUUUUUGAUUGAUCAGAUGUGACUUACAGUCAAGGACAAAUCUGAAUAGUUGCUGAUAUAAAAUUGGAAGCACUUGAAAAGGGAAUCCUCAGAUAUGAUUUAUGGAUAAGAUCUUGUUCGCUAGACUGUUCUAACAUAAAAAUGAAUUGUUGAAAGUGGCCAUAUCUGUUAUCUAGAGUCCAAAAAUUAAGCAGUUAGGUUUGAAACAUUGUGUGGCAACCAUACUUUUAUGGGGCCUAUUUUGACUCGUAAUGUUCACAAGCUGAGUUGAGGUUUUAUUGUCUAUUAGGAAGUUUUAUUCUUACAUCCUGACGGGGAAUAGUUCAAGUAUGAUUUGGUUUCACCCUGUCCAAAAUGUAUAUUGGAUCAAUCAUCUUUUCUACAGUUGUUUUUUUUUUUGUUUCAGUGAAAUGUACUAACGCCAAUUAGAGAAAAAACUAUGUGAUCAAUGAACUUAUUCAGUUAUUCCAAAAGCUGCCUGGCGUAAGACAUCGAUUUUUACCAAUAUCGUGUAUCUAGUCAUGGUCAUCCCUUAGAGUGUCAUUAAUGAUAUAAAAAAAGAAAUGAAUUUUUGAGGAAAAAACCCUGAGAAUCAUGAAUCAAAAUUCGCCUAAAAAUUAAAGACUGCUGAUCUGAUUUUAACAAAGGAUUAUAUGAAGAGUUCUGUUUUCUUGGGUAGGAAGUUGAUAUAUGUUUCCAAGCUGUAUGUCUUCCAUGAAUGUUUUUGGAUGAGGAGAGAGGGGAUGGUGCAUGGUUGUUGGUCAAAUAAUUCGUUUUGUAUUCACUUUGCAAUUGCAGUACCAUUAAGACUUUUUUUUUAUUGUCUUUACAGUGGAAACUGUAUGACAUGUACGUAUGAGCUGAUCUUUUGAGAAAACCUUGAUUUGUGAAGGUACUCAUUACUCAAGGUUCACGGGAUGUUACCCCCCAUUGAUCUUCUUUUGCUUGGCUCAGUUAAUUUGUGGUAGAUGAUACCAUGUUCUCUGCUUUCGUCGGACUUUGGCCCUGCCUCUGAAAAGGGCAUAUCAGAGUAAAAUUUCAUUUUAGUGGAGUAUUUCUUCUGUUUGUGUUGGGGUACAGGGUCCUUUAUAAUCAACUAUUAGGUGGUUUAUAAUGUGGGGGCUAAUCUAUCCAUCAAUGUAGGGCCUGUGGAUUUUAUUAGAUGAAUUAAUGCUUGGAGAAAAUGCUCUGCUUCAUGUCUUUUGGGGAACUGUUGAUGAUUUUUGGAAUCUGGAUUUUAUCAAGAAGUUACUUAUACCGUCUUU